AGUGAACGCUGGCGGUAGGCCUAACACAUGCAAGUCGAACGGCAGCACAGUAAGAGCUUGCUCUUACGGGUGGCGAGUGGCGGACGGGUGAGGAAUACAUCGGAAUCUACUUUUUCGUGGGGGAUAACGUAGGGAAACUUACACUAAUACCGCAUACGACCUACGGGUGAAAGCAGGGGAUCUUCGGACCUUGCGCGAUUGAAUGAGCCGAUGUCGGAUUAGCUAGUUGGCGGGGUAAAGGCCCACCAAGGCGACGAUCCGUAGCUGGUCUGAGAGGAUGAUCAGCCACACUGGAACUGAGACACAGUCCAGACUCCUACGGGAGGCAGCAGUGGGGAAUAUUGGACAAUGGGCGCAAGCCUGAUCCAGCCAUACCGCGUGGGUGAAGAAGGCCUUCGGGUUGUAAAGCCCUUUUGUUGGGAAAGAAAAGCAGCAGGUUAAUACCCCGCUGUUCUGACGGUACCCAAAGAAUAAGCACCGGCUAACUUCGUG
This 492-nucleotide ribosomal RNA is filed under the name uncultured bacterium. RNAcentral's name for it is "partial 16S ribosomal RNA". It matches the Rfam family "Bacterial small subunit ribosomal RNA", at positions 29 to 507 of the family's 1533-position model. The record is from RNAcentral.